Molecule: long non-coding RNA, 252 nt
Organism: Papilio polytes (common Mormon)
Lineage: Eukaryota; Metazoa; Arthropoda; Insecta; Lepidoptera; Papilionidae
Exons: 2
Source: RefSeq, a predicted model, not a curated record
CAGUGCUGUCUUUCUUUGUUACAUAUUUCUUAAUUCUUACAAUAUCUAAAUUGUACAGUUUUUAAUUAAUUUUCAUGCAAAAUGAUGUGUUCAUAGCGGGUUGAAACUUGUAACUAAAAUGAUACCUAUAUUAUGGUGACUACAGUAAGAUAGUAGAGAAAUUCAUACAUAAAAGAAAAAAAAACAUUUAAAGAAUGUUGAAUAUAUAAAAAAUGUAUUUAAUUACACUACGGAAUAAAUAACUUACCUGUU